This 423-nucleotide ribosomal RNA is filed under the name Triticum aestivum (bread wheat). RNAcentral describes it as "partial small subunit ribosomal RNA". Lineage: Eukaryota; Viridiplantae; Streptophyta; Magnoliopsida; Poales; Poaceae. The record is from RNAcentral.
AUGCCGUUUGGCCUCUGCAACGCACCGGCCACAUUCCAAUGCCUGAUGAACAACAUAUUUGGUCGCUAUGUCCGUAAGUUCACCAUCAUUUUCCUUGAUGACAUAUUGGUCUUCAAUAUUGACUUGCAGGAACAUGAACAACAUCUGCGCCUCACGCUUGAGUUGCUCUGCGAGCACCAACUAUUCGCCAAGGCAUCAAAGUGUUCGUUCGCCCAGAAGAGCAUCGAGUACCUGGGACACGUCAUUUCCAGGGACGGGGUCACCACUGACAUAAGCAAGACGAGCGCCAUGCAAGCCUGGCCCGUGCCCUCCACACCAACCGAACUGCGGGGUUUCCUCGGCCUCACCGGCUAUGACCGCAAGUUCUUCCCGCACUACGGCAUCAUCGCGAAGCCUCUCACCCAGCUCCUGACCAAGAAAUGA